UACGUAGGGGGCGAGCGUUGUCCGGAUUCAUUGGGCGUAAAGCGCGCGCAGGCGGCUUCGUAAGUCGGCCGUGAAAUCUCCAGGCUCAACUUGGAGGGGUCGGGCGAGACUGCGGAGCUCGAGGCAGGUAGAGGGCGGUGGAAUUCCGGGUGUAGUGGUGGAAUGCGUAGAGAUCCGGAGGAACACCAGUGGCGAAGGCGGCCGCCUGGGCCUGACCUGACGCUGAGGCGCGAAAGCGUGGGGAGCGAUCCGG
RNAcentral lists this ribosomal RNA (253 nucleotides) under uncultured bacterium. RNAcentral describes it as "partial 16S ribosomal RNA". It matches the Rfam family "Bacterial small subunit ribosomal RNA", at positions 524 to 776 of the family's 1533-position model. The record is from RNAcentral.